RNAcentral lists this long non-coding RNA (2429 nucleotides) under Homo sapiens (human). RNAcentral's name for it is "HSALNT0131588". Lineage: Eukaryota; Metazoa; Chordata; Mammalia; Primates; Hominidae. The record is from RNAcentral.
GCAUCAGGCCGCAGGUCGCCUUUGGGGGUGGCUUCCCACACAGCCGAGGCCCCAGAGGCUGCCUUGAGCGUGGCGGGGGCCAGGAGUCCGGGGCGGGGGAGCCCGGGGUUUGCUCCUCGGGACGGAGGAAGAUUCCAGGCUCAGCCGCCUCCAGUCUGCAGCCCUGCGAACCGCCUGCCACGCGCAUUCCUGAGCAGGGCUCUGCAGGGCGCGGCGUGCACGGCUCUGGAACCUGCCAGGAUGCGCUGAUGUGGCAACUCACUCAGGGUGGCAUCGUUCCAUGGGCAAGCACCCCUUAGAGAAAUGAGGAAUGACUCAGAUGAUCGGCUUCUACGAGUCUCUGCUGCCAUUUUAGGGGCCCCGUAAGGUUCCAGCUGUUUUUUGUUUUGCUUUGUUUGCUGUUUGGUUGGACGACAACGUGAGUAGGACUCCUGUCCCAAGGGGAGGACGCGUCCAGCCCGCCCGCCACGUGUCCAGCCUGCUCUCCGGAGCUGCACCAGAGCCUGUGUGGAAAGGAGAAGACGCAGCUCUCCCUGGGAGAGGCCUCAGCACAGCGAUGCGAACCUCUCACACGCAUGCAGAAUUCUCCCACGUGUGUCAGGGAGCCCAGGUCCACCUCCCAGGAAGGCCGGCUCCCCAGCGUCCAGCACGUGGCCUGCUCUGCAGGGGAGCGGGAGGCCGGGGUCCCCCACACAGCUUCUCUCCGUCCACCUGCGCGGAGGCUCCUGCACAGGAACCCUGGGCUGCCAGAACAACAUCCCACAGACUGGGCAGCUUAAACAAGAGAUUGAGCGUCUCGCACUCUGCAGUCUGGAAGGCCAAGGUCAAGGUGUAGGCAGGGCUGGUUCCUCAGUGGCUCUGCAGGACGACUGUGUCCCAGGCUACUUCCCUUUGCUGAUCGAUGGCCCUUGGCCCUCUGUGUCCUCACAGGGUGGCCCUUCUGUGCACGUCUGCAUCCUGAUCUCUUCUGGUAAGGACCCCAAUCGGAUUGGAAGAGGGCCCACCCUAAUGGCCUCCUUUUGGCUUAAUGAUCUCUCGGGAGACCCUGUCUCCAGGUACAGUCACAUUCUGGGUACUGGGAGUUGGGCUUGAACACAGGGCUUGGAGAGCACUGUUUUGCCCAUAACAGGGCCUCUGGGGAAAAGUUCAAAAAUCUGUCAAAAGAAGGAGAAGACAGGAGAAUCGCAUCGCUUGAACCCGGGAGGCGGAGGUUGCAGUCAGCCAAGAUUGCGCCACUUCACUCCAGCCUGGGCGACAGAGGAAGACUCUGUCUCAAAAAAAAAAAAAAAAAAAAAAAAAAAGAACGGUAGAUCCUUCUGUUCUGCCUGGAAGGUUGUCCACGAGGCCUUAGUGAGUGAAAGAGCCGUUCUGGGGGCGUCUAAACUGUAUGUUCCCAUGUGUAUGUUCAGGCUACUGACCUGUAGCUCGAGUGGAAUUGCAGGGGCCUGUCUGCAUCAUAGACAGGGCACACUUUGAAUUUUCCUGACAACGUGCGUUUUAUCUAUUAUAGGCACACAUUUUAAAAACUGGAAAUGGAAACCAGAGCAAACACACGAAAACAAAAACCCCCAAACAGAUGAGUAAGGGAAACCACUCAGUAUGUGUAAACCGUGCCACCAACGUUCCAGUUCACAGCAGCCAGAUCACAGGAAGCUGCCUGGCACAGGCGCCCACUUCCUGGUGUCGGGUGGCCCAGAAACCGCCUUGUCAUCAGCGUUGCUUGGUGAGCACAGCCCCAGGCACAGCCCCAGGGCUCGACUGUCUUUCUGAGCCCAACUCCCUCCUGGUGGGAACAUUCAGUAUGUCUUCCUCGGAGGAGGCCAUGUCAACCCUGACCCAGCCACUCCCUCUAUCUUCUUCUUCUUCUUCUUCUUCUUUUGAGACUGAAUGUCGCUCUGUCGUCCAGGCUGGAGUGUCGUGGUGUGAUCUCGGCUCGCUGUAACCUCUGCCUUCUGGGUUCAAGUGAUUCUCCUGUCUCAGCCUCUCAAGUAGCUGGGACUACAGGCACGAGCCACCAUGCCCAACUAAUUUUUGUAUUUUUAGCAGAGGUGGAGUUUCACUAUGUUGGUCAGGAUGGUCUCGAUCUCUUGACCUCAUGAUCUGCCUGCCUCGGCCUCCCAAAGUGCUGGGAUUACAGGCAUGAGCCACCACGCCCGGCCCUGUAUUUUUUAUUUUUUAUUUUUUAUUUAGUAGAGAUGGGUUUUUCUCAUGUCGCCCAGGCUGAUCUUGAGCUCAGGCAAUCCACCUGCCUUGGUCUCCCUAAAUGCUGGGAUUAUAGGCACGAGCCGCUGCGCCCGGCCGAUCUGCCCUUCUUUUUUUGUUUGUUUGUUUGUUUGUUUGUUUUGAGACGGAGUCUCCCUCUGUCUCCCAGGCUGGAGUGCAGUGGCGCAAUCUCAGCUCACUGCAAGCUCCGCCUCCUGGAUUCAGGC